Long non-coding RNA from Lynx canadensis (Canada lynx), 114 nucleotides. RefSeq lists it as uncharacterized. NCBI's taxonomy places the organism in Eukaryota, Metazoa, Chordata, Mammalia, Carnivora, Felidae. The record is from RefSeq and is a predicted model, not a curated record. The transcript has 3 exons.
AACUAAUCCUGCAUCCCAGGUAUACAUCCCACUUGCUCGUGGUGAAUAAUUUUUUUCAUGUAUUGUUGGAUCCGAUUGGCUGAUAUCUUGUUGAGGAUCCAUUGGGGAAAAAUG